RNAcentral lists this ribosomal RNA (497 nucleotides) under uncultured bacterium. RNAcentral's name for it is "partial 16S ribosomal RNA". It matches the Rfam family "Bacterial small subunit ribosomal RNA", at positions 28 to 507 of the family's 1533-position model. The record is from RNAcentral.
GAUGAACGCUGGCGGCGUGCCUAAUACAUGCAAGUCGAGCGAACGGACGAGAAGCUUGCUUCUCUGAUGUUAGCGGCGGACGGGUGAGUAACACGUGGAUAACCUACCUAUAAGACUGGGAUAACUUCGGGAAACCGUAGCUAAUACCGGAUAAUAUUUUGAACCGCAUGGUUCAAAAGUGAAAGACGGUCUUGCUGUCACUUAUAGAUGGAUCCGCGCUGCAUUAGCUAGUUGGUAAGGUAACGGCUUACCAAGGCAACGAUGCAUAGCCGACCUGAGAGGGUGAUCGGCCACACUGGAACUGAGACACGGUCCAGACUCCUACGGGAGGCAGCAGUAGGGAAUCUUCCGCAAUGGGCGAAAGCCUGACGGAGCAACGCCGCGUGAGUGAUGAAGGUCUUCGGAUCGUAAAACUCUGUUAUUAGGGAAGAACAUUUGUGUAAGUAACUGUGCACAUCGUGACGGUACCUAAUCAGAAAGCCACGGCUAACUACGUG